GCCCGGGUGGUGAAAUUGGUAGACACGCCAGCUUGAGGGGCUGGUGCUCUUAAGGGUGUGCUGGUUCGAAUCCAGUCUCGGGCA
Molecule: transfer RNA, 84 nt
Filed under: Flavobacteriales bacterium
Lineage: Bacteria; Pseudomonadati; Bacteroidota; Flavobacteriia; Flavobacteriales
Description: tRNA-Leu
Rfam family: tRNA
About the family: Transfer RNA (tRNA) molecules are approximately 80 nucleotides in length. Their secondary structure includes four short double-helical elements and three loops (D, anti-codon, and T loops).
Source: RNAcentral